This 492-nucleotide ribosomal RNA is filed under the name uncultured bacterium. RNAcentral's name for it is "partial 16S ribosomal RNA". It matches the Rfam family "Bacterial small subunit ribosomal RNA", at positions 29 to 507 of the family's 1533-position model. The record is from RNAcentral.
AUUGAACGCUGGCGGCAUGCUUUACACAUGCAAGUCGAACGGUAACAGGCCUUCGGGUGCUGACGAGUGGCGAACGGGUGAGUAAUGCAUCGGAACGUACCCAGAGGUGGGGGAUAACGCAGCGAAAGCUGUGCUAAUACCGCAUGUGAUCUGAGGAUGAAAGCGGGGGACCGAGCAGCAAUGUUUGGCCUCGCGCCUUUGGAGCGGCCGAUGUCGGAUUAGCUAGUUGGUGGGGUAAAGGCCUACCAAGGCGACGAUCCGUAGCUGGUCUGAGAGGACGACCAGCCACACUGGGACUGAGAACCGGCCCAGACUCCUACGGGAGGCAGCAGUGGGGAAUUUUGGACAAUGGGCGCAAGCCUGAUCCAGCAAUGCCGCGUGCGGGAAGAAGGCCUUCGGGUUGUAAACCGCUUUUGGCAGGAACGAAACGGUGUCCGCUAAUACCGGGCGCUAAUGACGGUACCUGCAGAAUAAGCACCGGCUAACUACGUG